GUAAAGUCACUAGAAACUGAAAGAAAACAUUCUUAAGAUAAAUUGAAUUGACAUUUUCUCUCUAAAAUAUGGUUUAUAGACCAUAGAUAGGAAUUAAGAGUUUCCUGAUAAUUUUGGCUUCAUAUUAUUUUAAAGGAUUAUCAAGAGGAAAUUGCUAUUGCUCAAGAGAACAAGAUACAGCUCCAACAAAUGGGAGAACGACUUGCUAAAGCCAGCCAUGAAAGCAAAGCAUCUGAGAUUGAAUACAAGCUGGGAAAGGUCAACGACCGGUGGCAGCAUCUCCUGGACCUCAUUGCAGCCAGGGUGAAGAAGCUGAAGGAGACCCUGGUAGCCGUGCAGCAGCUUGAUAAGAACAUGAGCAGCCUGAGGACCUGGCUCGCUCACAUCGAGUCAGAGCUGGCCAAGCCAAUAGUCUACGAUUCCUGUAACUCGGAAGAAAUACAGAGAAAGCUUAAUGAGCAGCAGGAGCUUCAGAGAGACAUAGAGAAGCAUAGUACAGGUGUUGCAUCUGUCCUCAACCUGUGUGAAGUCCUGCUGCACGACUGUGAUGCCUGUGCCACUGAUGCCGAGUGUGACUCUAUACAGCAGGCUACGAGAAACCUGGACCGGCGGUGGAGAAACAUUUGUGCUAUGUCCAUGGAAAGGAGGCUCAAAAUCGAAGAGACGUGGAGAUUGUGGCAGAAAUUUCUGGAUGACUAUUCACGUUUUGAAGAUUGGCUGAAGUCUUCAGAAAGGACAGCUGCUUUUCCCAGCUCUUCUGGGGUGAUCUAUACAGUUGCCAAGGAAGAACUAAAGAAAUUUGAGGCUUUCCAGCGACAGGUCCACGAGUGCCUGACGCAGCUGGAACUGAUCAACAAGCAGUACCGCCGCCUGGCCAGGGAGAACCGCACUGAUUCAGCGUGUAGCCUCAAACAGAUGGUUCACGAAGGCAACCAGAGAUGGGACAACCUGCAAAAGCGCGUCACCUCCAUCUUGCGCAGACUCAAGCAUUUUAUUGGCCAGCGUGAGGAGUUUGAGACUGCGCGGGACAGCAUUCUGGUCUGGCUCACAGAGAUGGAUCUGCAGCUCACUAAUAUUGAACAUUUUUCUGAGUGUGAUGUUCAAGCUAAAAUUAAGCAACUCAAGGCCUUCCAGCAGGAAAUUUCACUGAACCACAAUAAGAUUGAGCAGAUAAUUGCCCAAGGAGAACAGCUGAUAGAAAAGAGUGAGCCCUUGGAUGCGGCGAUCAUCGAGGAGGAACUAGAUGAGCUCCGACGGUACUGCCAGGAGGUCUUUGGGCGUGUGGAAAGAUACCAUAAGAAACUGAUCCGCCUGCCUCUCCCAGACGAUGAGCACGACCUCUCAGAUAGGGAGCUGGAGCUGGAAGACUCUGCAGCUCUGUCGGACCUGCACUGGCAUGACCGCUCUGCAGACAGCCUGCUUUCUCCACAGCCUUCCUCCAACCCCUCCCUCUCGCUCGCUCAGCCCCUCCGGAGCGAGCGGUCAGGACGAGACACCCCGGCUAGUGUGGACUCCAUCCCCCUGGAGUGGGAUCACGACUAUGAUCUCAGUCGGGACCUGGAGUCUGCAAUGUCCAGAGCUCUGCCCUCUGAGGAUGAAGAGGGUCAGGACGAUAAAGAUUUCUACCUCCGGGGAGCUGUUGGCUUAUCAGAUGUAAUGAUCCCUGAAAGCCCUGAGGCCUAUGUAAAACUCACAGAAAAUGCAAUCAAAAAUACCUCCGGGGACCACAGUGCCCUAGAGUCACAGAUCCGACAACUGGGCAAAGCCCUGGAUGAUAGCCGCUUUCAGAUACAGCAAACUGAAAAUAUCAUUCGCAGCAAAACUCCCACGGGGCCGGAGCUAGACACCAGCUACAAAGGCUACAUGAAACUGCUGGGCGAAUGCAGUGGCAGUAUAGACUCCGUGAAGAGACUGGAGCACAAACUGAAGGAGGAAGAGGGGAGCCUUCCCGGCUUUGUUAACCUGCAUAGUACUGAAACCCAAACGGCUGGUGUGAUUGACCGAUGGGAGCUUCUCCAGGCCCAGGCAUUGAGCAAGGAGUUGAGGAUGAAGCAGAACCUCCAGAAGUGGCAGCAGUUUAACUCAGACUUGAACAGCAUCUGGGCCUGGCUGGGGGACACGGAGGAGGAGCUGGAACAGCUCCAGCGUCUGGAACUCAGCACUGACAUCCAGACCAUCGAGCUCCAGAUCAAAAAGCUCAAGGAGCUCCAGAAAGCUGUGGACCACCGCAAAGCCAUCAUCCUCUCCAUCAAUCUCUGCAGCCCCGAGUUCACCCAGGCUGACAGCAAGGAGAGCCGGGACCUGCAGGAUCGCUUGUCGCAGAUGAAUGGGCGCUGGGACCGAGUGUGCUCUCUGCUGGAGGAGUGGCGGGGCCUGCUGCAGGAUGCCCUGAUGCAGUGCCAGGAUUUCCAUGAAAUGAGCCAUGGUUUGCUUCUUAUGCUGGAGAACAUUGACAGAAGGAAAAAUGAAAUUGUCCCUAUUGAUUCUAACCUUGAUGCAGAGAUACUUCAGGACCAUCACAAACAGCUUAUGCAAAUAAGGCAUGAGCUGUUGGAAUCCCAACUCAGAGUAGCCUCUUUGCAAGACAUGUCUUGCCAACUACUGGUGAAUGCUGAAGGAACAGACUGUUUAGAAGCCAAAGAAAAAGUCCAUGUUAUUGGAAAUCGGCUCAGACUUCUCUUGAAGGAGGUCAGUCGUCAUAUCAAGGAACUGGAGAAGUUAUUAGACGUGUCAAGUAGUCAGCAGGAUUUGUCUUCCUGGUCUUCUGCUGAUGAACUGGACACCUCAGGGUCUGUGAGUCCCACAUCAGGAAGGAGCACCCCAAACAGACAGAAAACGCCACGAGGCAAGUGUAGUCUCUCACAGCCUGGACCCUCUGUCAGCAGUCCACAUAGCAGGUCCACAAAAGGUGGCUCCGAUUCCUCCCUUUCUGAGCCUGGGCCAGGUCGGUCCGGCCGCGCCUUCCUGUUCAGAGUCCUCCGAACAGCUCUUCCCCUUCAGCUUCUCCUGCUCCUCCUCAUUGGGCUCGCCUGCCUUGUACCAAUGUCAGAGGAAGACUACAGCUGUGCCCUCUCCAACAACUUUGCCCGGUCAUUCCACCCCAUGCUCAGAUACACGAAUGGCCCUCCUCCACUCUGAACUAAGCAGAUGCCAUCUGCAGAAGUGCUGGUAGCAUAAGGAGGAUCGGGUCAUAAGCAAUCCCAAACUACCAACAAGAGGACCUUGAUCUUGGUGAAAGCCCUCCGUGUGGCAGCUUGAGCCCUCCUCCAGAUCACAUGUGUGCAAAUCAUGGCUUCAGAGGUGGAAGAUAAACAGUGACAGGGGAACAAAGAGACAACAAGAAGGUUUGGAAGAAAUCUGGUUUGAGACUCUGAACCUUAGCACUAAGGAGAUGAGUAAGGACCUCCAAAGUUCCCUGAGCUCAUGAAUUCUGGGCCCUUGGCCCAUUCUAUGCAUAGCCAAGGACUUCAGUAGACCAUCUGGGCAGCUUUCCCAUGGUGCUGCUCCAACCAUCAGAUAAAUGUCCCUCCCAAGCACCAUGUCAGUGUCGUACAAUCUACCAACCAACUAGUGCUGAAGAGAUUUUAGAACCUUGUAACAUACAAUUUUUAAGAGCUUAUAUGGCAGCUUCCUUUUUACCUUGUUUUCCUUUGGGGCAUGAUGUUUUAACCUUUGCUUUAGAAGCACAAGCUGUAAAUCUAAAAGGCACUUUUUUUAGAGGUAUAAAGAAAAACUAGAUGUAAUAAAUAAGAUCAUGGAAGGCUUUAUGUGAAAAAAGUUCAAUGUUAUAGU
This 3792-nucleotide small RNA is filed under the name Pongo abelii (Sumatran orangutan). RNAcentral describes it as "processed transcript". The record is from RNAcentral. Lineage: Eukaryota; Metazoa; Chordata; Mammalia; Primates; Hominidae.